GAUGAACGCUGGCGGCGUGCCUAAUACAUGCAAGUCGAACGAGGUGCUUUUGUAGCUUUCGGAUGACUUCUUAGUGGCGAACGGGUGAGUAACGCGUUGGUGACCUACCCCGAAGAACGGGAUAACAGUUCGAAAGGACUGCUAAUACCGUAUGAAGUCAUGAGGAUUAGAGGCCUCAUGAAAAAAAGGAGCAAUCCGCUUUGGGAGGGGCCUGCGUCCCAUCAGCUAGUUGGUAAGGUAAAGGCUUACCAAGGCGAUGACGGGUAGGGGACCUGAGAGGGUGGCCCCCCACACUGGAACUGAAACACGGUCCAGACACCUACGGGUGGCAGCAGUAGGGAAUAUUGCUUAAUGGGCGAAAGCCUGAAGCAGCAACGCCGCGUGUGUGAAGAAGGCCUUCGGGUUGUAAAACACUUUUUGAGGGGAUGAGGAAGGACAGUACCCUCAGAAUAAGCCUCGGCUAACUACGUGCCAGCAGCCGCGGUAAAACGUAGGAGGCGAGCGUUAUCCGGAUUUACUGGGCGUAAAGCGCGUGUAGGCGGCACGGCAAGUUGGAUGUGAAAGCUCCCGGCUUAACUGGGAGAGGUCGUUCAAAACUGCCGAGCUAGAGUGCGGGAGAGGGAGGUGGAAUUCCGGGUGUAGUGGUGAAAUGCGUAGAUAUCCGGAGGAACACCAGUGGCGAAAGCGGCCUCCUGGCCCGCAACUGACGCUCAGACGCGAAAGCUAGGGUAGCAAACGGGAUUAGAGACCCCGGUAGUCCUAGCUGUAAACGAUGUAGACUUGGCGUUGGUGGGUUCAAAUCCAUCAGUGCCGGAGCAAACGCGUUAAGUCUACCGCCGGGGGACUACGGCCGCAAGGUUAAAACUCAAAGGAAUUGACGGGGGCCCGCACAAGCAGCGGAGCGUGUGGUUUAAUUCGAUGCUACACGAAGAACCUUACCAGGGUUUGACAUGUUGGUGGUAGAGAACUGAAAAGGGACCGACCGGGGUUCUUCGGGGAGCCAACACAGGUGCUGCAUGGCUGUCGUCAGCUCGUGUCGUGAGAUGUUCGGUUAAGUCCGCUAACGAGCGCAACCCUCGCCGUGUGUUAUAAACCCGUGAGGGUGCACUCACGCGGGACCGCCGGUCUUAAGCCGGAGGAAGGUGGGGAUGACGUCAAGUCAGCAUGGCCUUUAUGUCCUGGGCUACACACACGCUACAAUGGCCAGUACAAUUGGUUGCGAAACCGCGAGGUGGAGCCAAUCCUGUAAAAGCUGGCCUCAGUUCAGAUUGUAGGCUGCAACUCGCCUGCAUGAAGAUGGAGUUGCUAGUAACCGCAGGUCAGCCAUACUGCGGUGAAUACGUUCCC
Molecule: ribosomal RNA, 1347 nt
Filed under: uncultured bacterium
Lineage: Bacteria
Description: bacterial SSU rRNA
Rfam family: Bacterial small subunit ribosomal RNA
Source: RNAcentral